This 225-nucleotide long non-coding RNA is filed under the name Prunus persica (peach). Its description in RNAcentral is "long non-coding RNA (PPER_LNC004821)". The record is from RNAcentral. Lineage: Eukaryota; Viridiplantae; Streptophyta; Magnoliopsida; Rosales; Rosaceae.
AAAAAGUAUAAUUAGCAAACAAAGAAAGUAAUGUAAAGGUAGGUGAAUGUGGGCAUAUACCCAUACCUAGCAAUGGAUAGAUCGUUAGAAGAGAAUCCUGCAACAUGAGAUUAGGAGCAACAUCAAAAUGGGGGUAAUUUCAAUUCAGCAAAAACAAAUGAAAACAAAUGAAAACAAAACCCAAGAGAAAAAAAAAAUACAAAUACAAAAACAUGUAACCAAUUG